AAGCAUGAGGACCUUAGUUGGAUUCCCCCUUGAUAGCCAGUGUUGAUUUGGCUAAUCUGGCUGGCUAGGGGUGUGUCCCCUUCCAUCCUCACGGCUCCAUGUGUGUCCCUGCCAAAGUUGCAUACUCGGUCAAAGAGGAAGACCUGCCCUGAAGAGAGGAGGACCAGUCUUCAGUCAAGGGUACACAGGUAGCCAGGCUUCCCUUCUAGAACCUCCAACACGCUGUCAAGGUUCUUUUGUAGAACAUAGGGUAGUCAAGCUUUCAAGAUUCAAAAUACAUCCAAAUGAGGCGCUGCACAUGACAGUCCGCCUUUCUUA
Molecule: small nuclear RNA, 318 nt
Filed under: Jaculus jaculus (lesser Egyptian jerboa)
Lineage: Eukaryota; Metazoa; Chordata; Mammalia; Rodentia; Dipodidae
Description: 7SK RNA (ENSJJAG00000003031.1)
Rfam family: 7SK RNA
About the family: 7SK was discovered as an abundant small nuclear RNA in the mid-70s but a possible function has only recently been suggested. Two independent studies have found that 7SK RNA binds the CDK9/cyclin T complex (known as elongation factor P-TEFb).
Source: Rfam by way of RNAcentral